This is a long non-coding RNA of Vulpes vulpes (red fox), 1904 nucleotides long. The record is from Ensembl. Lineage: Eukaryota; Metazoa; Chordata; Mammalia; Carnivora; Canidae.
GUGCUUUCUUAAUGGCUGUGGGUCACCCAACCAAGAAUUUGGUGUACUUAAUUUGCCGCAUGCCUUCCUUCUCAGGAGGCCUGGCUUCAUAAUCCACAGGACCAUGAGCUCCCUGGAGCAUACAGCUUCAACAUUUCCAGAAUUUUGACAUCUGUCUGGUAGUGAGUUCUCCUCCACCCCUUGCACCACCGCUAGCUUCUCUCCUGCUCGCAUCCUUAGCCUCGGAGGAGUGACAAUUGCACUGGAAUCCCUGGAUUUCAUCCCUCAUCCCUGGUGAAGAUAAAGCUAAUUGUACAAAGCUGCGUUUGCCCUGCCGGAACCUCACCCCCUGCACCUCUGGAAAAGACACGGAAGCUGCUCAUCACCUUCGCCUGAGAUCAGCCCCAUCAGCACCUGUCUGAGCUAUAAGAAUCCCAGAGCAUAGCUCCUACUGAGUCUAAUUCCCAAAGUGGGGUAUCGUGUUAUCUCGUCCAGCCUCCCGGUCCCAUCGAUGAAGAUGCUUCCUCCCACAGGUGGGAAGUGACAGGUGCAAGGUCCUCACUGGGUUUUGCCAUUUGACAAAGUCAAGAGAAAAACCCCAUGACCCCAGUAGUGGCCUCACCCCACACCCCAACCUCCUCUGAUUGUAUGACCUCCUUCCUAUUGGUACUGCUCCACUGCGGAAGGAGGUGGGAUGUGAUGAUAGACUGAGCUCCCACGCAUAACCCGGAGGGCCCUGUCUUCAAAGACUACGACUGUGAACAUCUAUUCUUCGUGACUCAGAGGGCAGGUCCGAGCCUUACGUUACUCAAGGCAUUAGCCAUGAACGGCUUGUUGGAGACGAAAUCCGUAUGCAAACCCCCCCCUUUCCUGUCAUUUAAUACUCACGUAACUUUGUACAGAUCGCGUAAUCUUCCAGAAGCCCAGCCUUCCUGAGGAAUGGACAGGUGAUCUCUGCCAGACUCGGAGAGUCAUUGUGAGCACGGACUUCCCACACGAGACGGCGCAGAGAGGUGUACGUGUUAGCUGCUAUUGUGGUGGAAGGGUCAAAGCUUAUAGCUGGUGUGGUGAAAGAACAAGUAUCAUCCGUUUAUUGUUGUCUUGAUUGCAUCUGCAAGUCUACUUCUGAUGAUGAUGGAGCCAUCCGGGANUUUUAUUGUCUUGAUUGCAUCUGCAAGUCUACUUCUGAUGAUGAUGGAGCCAUCCGGGAAGAAGAAGUUGUCAGAAAUAGGGGGACUGGACUUCUGUGAGCUCCGAUAUUGAGAAUCCACACUUCCCAUUGGCUACCCAGUGCCCACUCCCCCAGCGGAGACCCUGCUCUGCCCACCCUGAAAGCCCAGCCGUGCCCCCAUCCCCACCGUCAGCGGCCAGGAGGAAGAUGGUGCUGGGGGCACAGCAUAGACUUCGAUGACGACAUGAAGGCAGCAUGAGUUGGAACGGCUCUGUGAAAAGGAGCAAGGGCCAAGCCCGACUGAGCCAUCUCUGCUGACAAGAGCCUCACCAUGAAACUCUGAAAACUACUCAGUUUUCUUAUAAACUGGGAGAGAAGUUUGAAGACACUGCAGCUAAUGGCAGAAACACUGCGAUCUGCAAUCUUAAAGUGGCACAUGGGUGUCACGUCUUGCUGGCAAUGUCACAACAAGACAAGUGGAAGGUGGGGAAGGCAUUAUGAACGAUGUCACCAGGACUCCGAUCUGUGAAAAGGCAGACUGAAAAUUUUAUCACCACUUUUGACGAGAUUUAGUUGUGAAGAUAAACAAGCUCUGCUCUAAUCUCCAUACUGCCGCUUCUUUGGUUUCAUUCCUGUGUUCAAUCAUCUUUAUCACCAGCAUUCUCUAGGCAACUAUUUCAAAAUGUCAGUUUAAUUAGGAUCAGGCCCUUGGUUAGUAAAUAAAUGUAUUUUUGCUUUAAAAAAAAAAUUACGA